UGGGGAAUAUUGCACAAUGGGCGAAAGCCUGAUGCAGCAACGCCGCGUGAGUGAUGAAGGCCUUCGGGUUGUAAAGCUCUGUCUUUUGGGACGAUAAUGACGGUACCAAAGGAGGGAGCCACGGCUAACUACGUGCCAGCAGCCGCGGUAAUACGUAGGUGGCAAGCGUUGUCCGGAUUUACUGGGCGUAAAGGAUGCGUAGGUGGAUAUUUAAGUGGGAUGUGAAAUACCCGAGCUCAACUUGGGUGCUGCAUUCCAAACUGGAUAUCUAGAGUGCAGGAGAGGUAAGUGGAAUUCCUAGUGUAGCGGUGAAAUGCGUAGAGAUUAGGAAGAACACCAGUGGCGAAGGCGACUUACUGGACUGUAACUGACACUGAGGCAUGAAAGCGUGGGGAGCAAACAGGAUUAGAUACCCUGGUAGUCCACGCCGUAAACGAUGGGUACUAGGUGUAGGAGGGUCCAACCUUCUGUGCCGCCGUUAACACAAUAA
This 490-nucleotide ribosomal RNA is filed under the name uncultured Bacillota bacterium. Its description in RNAcentral is "bacterial SSU rRNA". It matches the Rfam family "Bacterial small subunit ribosomal RNA", at positions 355 to 863 of the family's 1533-position model. The record is from RNAcentral. Lineage: Bacteria; Bacillati; Bacillota.